UGCCCGCACCCAAGAUGGCGCCGCCAGCAGCUAAGGCGGCUCUGCCCCCACGCAAGAUGGCGGCGCCUGCAGCGCCUGGCUGCGCAGUAAUGGCUGCCGGGGUGCAGGUGGGUGGGGUGAAGGCGGGCUCGCACCGGGCCCAUAGGGAGCGAGGCUGAGCCUCCCAGCGCCAGGGGAGGUCAGAUAAUGCGUCCUGUGCCUGCAGGGGAAGAAGAGAGGCCGGCAGGAAGAGGAACCGUGAUCCUGUGCCCCACAAUCAGCACAGCGGGGCAGCUGGACCUGCAGCGUGCACAUGGCUUCAAAAUUCCCAGGAGCAGCGCAGUGCCACCAGUCCAGGUGGCCUGUUUGAAAAUCCAGUUUCCUCUUGGAAAUACGUUUGUCUUGGCUGCUCACUGAAAAUAAUAAGGUAAUGGCAGAGGGAAAACAGGAUUUGGGAUUCCUGGCCCUGUGGCUUGCUCCAUACAUUGGGUUUUGUGGCCCUCUUAAAACCCAUUUCUUGGUUGAGGUCUGACACAGCUCCAGCUGUCGGUGUUGGUGUCAGAGCACCGUGAGAUAAUCCUGCUGGGAAACCUGUGGCUGCUCCUCCACAAGAGAGAGAAGAAUGCCAGCUGUAAUUCACUUCUCUGUUCCACAGGGUUUGAGUAAACAGCCUAUCUGGCAACUUCUUGGAAACAAAAUCUUGUCUUUAUUUCUAGAGCAUACCGACCCCUUUCCAGGAGGUCUCCAUCACUGUCAGAACAUUCAAGGGCAUUACUAAAUGUGUUAUUUCUGUUUCCUAGGAAAAAAUCUUUCUCUGCUGACCUGACAAACAGUGUGAUACGUGAUAACUGACUUGACAUCGGCAGGUAUAUGUGCUUUGAAAGGUCAUGCCAUCCCUCAGCCUGAUCAGCUGAUGCAAAACACAUAACCAACCUGUUCGUUUCAUUCCAGCAAGCUGGAGUUGACAAACUGAAGGAAGGAGGAGGGGAUCCUGAAGCAGUGACGGACUGUUCACAGCUGAACUCUGCUUCCACAUCUUUAUUAACAAUUUCCAGGUGUGGCACACAGGUAGUAGUGUGUCUGAAGGCCCAACACUGAGCUAAGGUCUUGCUUGUCCUCAUAGGUCUUAGUUUUACGAGUAGGACUGCUGAAUACUUGACUCACACAGUCUGAGAGGUGGGUGUUGGUCUCUUCACCGAAAUGAUAGAUGGUAGGAUAAGACGGAAUGGCCUCAAGCCUCAAACCUCAGGGGAGGUUUAGAUUGGACAGCAGGAAAAGCUUCUUCAUCUAAAGGGUUAUUGGGCACUGGCACAGCUGCCCAGGGAGGUGUUUGAGUUACCAUCCCUGGAGGUAUUUAAGAGGAGGGUAGAUGAGGUGUUUGGGGACAUGAUUUAAUAGUGGAUAGGUAUGGUUGGACUUGGAUGAUCUCUUUUUUUAAAAGAAAUGAUGAUCUCUUUUUUUUUUUUAAAAAAAAAAAAGGGUGAUUUGUGUUUUCUGAACCUGAUCCUCACAUGGCUGCAUAUGGUGUUAACCCUGUCAUGGCAAUACAAGGAAGGAUGCUGGCACAGGCAGCUGGCAGAGAUGGCCAGGAUCACAGCAGUCCGUAUCAAUGAUAGCCUUACACUGCUGUGGUACCACACCUGCAGCUUCUCUUGGUAUAAUCUCUCACUUGCCGUUGGAGGGGUAGGUUGGGUUGCAAUUUUGGUGUAUGUUUUUUUUUCUCAGACCAAGAACUGAAAUAGGCAGUUUUGUUCUCAGAAAUAUUUCAUAGAAUCAUAGAAUAGUUUGGGUUGGAAGGGACCUUAAAGAUCAUCCAGUUCCAACCCCUUUGCCAUGGGCAGGGACACCUCCCACUAGAUCAAGUUGCUCAAAGCCUUGUCCAGUCUGGCCUUGAACACUUCCAGGGGUGGGGCAUCGACAGCUUCCCUGGGCAAGCUGUGCCAAUGCCUUAUCACUGUCAUAGUGAAGAAAUUCCUCCUUAUGUCUAGCCUAAAUCUGCCUCUCUCCAAUUUAUAGCUAUUGCCCCUAGUCCUAUCACUACAUGCCUUUGUAAAAAGUCCCUCCCCAUCUCUCUUGUAGGCACCCUUCAGGUACUGGUACUUUGUGUACUUAAAAAGUAGUAAAAAUAAUGAAAACAAUAUUUGAGGAAAAGUUCUCCUCUCUCUUCCUUUUGCACAGAUCAGUGUGUUUUGGGACAUCAAAAGCAAUGGAGGAGAAGCUUCCCUCUAAAGUGACUGUUGGGCAGAGGGCUGUGUACUUUGUUUUGUUUUUAACCUUCCACUCUGUUUUUCCUGGAAACUUUCUGUGAAUGCGCUGACCUUGCUUGUCUCUCCAAGGCAAGGCAGCUGGUCUGCUCCAGUAUCACAGCCAACAUCUCUGCUCUGUUCAUUAGCCAGUCAGCAUUCUGCAAAGGUCAGGGGUGCAUCUUAGCUAUAAGUUUACUCAAUACAGAAGCAUCUAAGGAAUCGUGUUCUUUAAAAAAAUCCUAUGUGUGGGGGCAUGCACUUCAUUUUUCAGCACUGACCCCUUCUAGGCAUAUCUUUGAGCAUUUCUGUGGUUUUAACAUUCCUUACUGACACCACCCCUGCUAUAAGCAUGUGUUGCCCUUCAUUUUAUAGAAGAGGAAAUAAAUUUGUGCCUGCAGGGUUCCAAGCUUUUGCCUGACCACUAGAUGUGGUUCUUCUAUCAGUCUUUACCAAAAAUGCAGGAUACAGGUGGAUGGAGGGAACAGGGCAGAGAGCCGUAAUCUGCUUUUUCUAUUGCACGUAAGCAGACAAAACAGAUGAAGGAAGAAACUUGCACAAAAUCUCCUGGGGUGUCUGUAAGAGCUGGGAACUAAAUUCACAUUUCAAGAGAAACACUGUUGUUCUGUCUACAUUUUUUCCACAAAACGCAUAAUGUGUUACUUGAGUGAGGGGAAGAAAAACCUGAUGUCUGCUGACAUUUACCCCACUCAUCAGUGCUCAGUAGGUGUUUAAGUGAAGCUCCUGCCUUAAAGUCCUUCUGGCAUAAGGCUUUUGCAGUAAGGACGGGGCCAAUUCCUCCUCUGUUUGGUGUUGCUAGAAAUGUGAACUGGAGUACAACAGUGCUCUGUGCAGUCUUUACUCUUUCUGGAAAGUCUCAACUGCCUCACAAGGAGUUGUUCAUGGUGGCCUGAAGCUAGUGACUGAGGUAUCAGGUAGAAACUGAGGUUGUUAGGGGCUCUUCUGCAGCUUUCCUUGCAGAUGUCUUUCCUUGAGAGCCUUUCUUAUUGACUCAUGCUUUGGCCCAAGGAUUCCUAAUUGCUCUCCGUUUGUCAUUUUCUGAGCUCCUGCCCCACCAAGUUCUUUCAUUUCAUACCUCUCUUGCCCCAGCCACUUGUGUGGCUGUUCAUGGAGCUGCUGCAACAUUUUAGUUUCAUCGUGUCCAAGAGAGCUAGCUGUCCACUGUGGCCCCUGAUGUGGAGCUGAGGGGCACCAGCCCUGUCCUGCUCUCCACCCAGCUGUGUGUUCCUGCACUCACUGGUGGACUGGUUGAGGGAGCUCAAGGGAAAGCUAUUAGGAUGUGGGGAUGCUUCAACCACAGCUUUCCAAAGUGCUGUGCGCAGGGCAUACAACAUAGCUGCUCUAGAAUCUCCACGCCAAGAAAUGCUUGCCAUCCCUGUGCAGUUGAGACUACCAAAUUUUAAGAUGUUCUUCCCUUCUGCUAGUGAGCACGAUGAAUUUCAUGAACACAACCAGGGAGGAUGGGUUUAACUUUGUCAUAUCUAGAAACAUCAGUAGUAAGGGGAAGGGACCCUGAAGAACAUAAUUCUUUUUAAAUUGCACGCAUAAUAUACCUUAAAAUGAACAUAAUGCGUAGUUUUCUAAUGUUCGGGUCUGAAUCUCUACUUCUGGGAAGCCUCUAGGUAAGCCAGAUUUGUUGUUAUCCUACUUAGGGCUUAGAGCUGUUGUCUAUAGGUUUUGCUGUUGUUCUUUCUUUACACCUUUUAUUUUGCUCUUAUUUUCUUAAAUGAAGUAACAAUAUGCUCAAGCAACUUCUCUCAGCUCAUAAAACAGUGAAAAAAUGCCAGAUUGUUUGUGUUGAGCUCCACUUGGAUUUUGGUGCUCUAAAAACCCAGCUCAGUCGUAUUUGUGUCUCUGCAGUGGGACCAUGGAAGGAAAGAGACAUCACCAAGUCGUCAUUCAGAGGAAAGCAGCAUAUUGGACCUACCCUCUGUUUGUGACCUAGCAGAGUGCUUUCUGCCUCCUCACAGCUCUGAAAACAGCGAGGAGCUUUUUCGUUCUGUGGAUAUUUUUCCCUCUACACCCACAGGCUUCUUUGCAGGGUCUGAAGGACGGGUGUGCUGCAGAAAGACAGACUUCCCUUCUCUGCUGUCUUGUUUCCCAAAUUUGAGAAUCUCUCUUAAGAGACCCAUAGGAGAACUUCAUGAAGUGACCCUCUUUACAACACAAAAGCUUUGACAGGAUUUUCCUAUGAUCUGAUGUACAGAGGCUGGUGACACCUGAGAGGGAGUCUUGGAGAGAAACGCACCCUUCCAAAUCUACUCUGUGUUGGAUGGGGAGCUGUCCCCUCCCCACAGAAGACUGAAUGCAUAGUUCGCUUCAUUUCUUCUCAUGUGAAAUCCAGCAAGGGCUCCAUCCUUCUCGCAGUGCUGUGUUCCUAUAGAAGUUGGUUUGUUUUUUUCCUGCUAUGUCUAAAGAAGGCUAAUAUGAACUAGAUUUUAAUGCAUGUCUGAGCAGUGGAGUGCUCUGUUUGAAACAUUAAGAGGCAAAGAAAGAAAUUCACUUCCUCUACUAUGUGGAGAUAAAGGUUUGGUUUGCUUUGUUAAAAUAAAACAAAACAAAACAAAUCCUCUAGAAUGUAUUUCUAGCUUGAAAAUCAUGAAAGAAAUUUCCAUUAAAAGGUUCACAGGCAUGAGAGUUAUACAAGGAGCAAAAACCACCAAGGAAAAUGGGAACGCAAAGGGGGUAGGCUUUUUCCAUUUUUAGUCCUACUUUCCAGGAAGAGAAGCAUGUUUUGUAGGAAACAAUUUCAAUGAAACUCACGUUUUCCUUAACAGCUGAGAGGAGAAGCU
RNA transcript from Cuculus canorus (common cuckoo), 5035 nucleotides. It is a transcript of the gene named shieldin complex subunit 1, with no coding region annotated. The record is from RefSeq and is a predicted model, not a curated record. Lineage: Eukaryota; Metazoa; Chordata; Aves; Cuculiformes; Cuculidae. The transcript has 3 exons.